GUCUGUUCGACCAAAACAUCGCUUUUUGUAAUAAAUAAAAAGUUUGGUCUGCCCACUGUAAUUAAAGGGCCGCGGUAUAUUGACCGUGCAAAGGUAGCAUAAUAAUUAGUCUUUUAAUUGAAGGCUAGAAUGAAUGGCUGGAUGAGGUAAUAACUGUCUCUUAUAAAUUAAAAAUAAAUUAAAGGUUUAGUUAAAACGCUAAAAUAUUUUUAAGGGACGAUAAGACCCUAUAGAUCUUAAUAAAUUUUGUUAAUUAUAAUAGCUGAAAUAAAUAAUUUAUUGAAAUUUAUUUUAGCAUUCCCCCGUAUAAAUAAUAUAAGAUUUUGGUUAUUACCCCCUUCCUUAACUCUUUUAUUAGCUAGAAGUAU
Molecule: ribosomal RNA, 368 nt
Filed under: Choroterpes (Euthraulus) sp. EU1_UN11_1
Lineage: Eukaryota; Metazoa; Arthropoda; Insecta; Ephemeroptera; Leptophlebiidae
Description: Euthraulus sp. EU1_UN11_1 partial large subunit ribosomal RNA
Rfam family: Archaeal large subunit ribosomal RNA (bases 1-160)
Source: RNAcentral